AGUGUGGAGGAUACACCUGUUCCCAUGCCGAACACAGAAGUUAAGCUUCUUAGCGCCGAUUGUAGUGAAGGGUUUCCCUUUGUGAGAGUAGGA
Molecule: ribosomal RNA, 93 nt
Filed under: Enterococcus faecalis
Lineage: Bacteria; Bacillati; Bacillota; Bacilli; Lactobacillales; Enterococcaceae
Source: RNAcentral